This 375-nucleotide ribosomal RNA is filed under the name uncultured organism. Its description in RNAcentral is "partial 16S ribosomal RNA". It matches the Rfam family "Bacterial small subunit ribosomal RNA", at positions 527 to 896 of the family's 1533-position model. The record is from RNAcentral.
GUAGGUGGCAAGCGUUGUCCGGGAAUUAUUGGGGCGUAAAGCGCGCGCAGGCGGUUCUUCAAGUCUGAUGUGAAAGCCCACGGGCUCAACCGUGGAGGGUCAUCGGAAACUGGAGAACUUGAGUACAGAAGAGGAAAGCGGAAUUCCACGUGUAGCGGUGAAAUGCGUAGAGAUGUGGAGGAACACCAGUGGCGAAGGCGGCUUUCUGGUCUGUAACUGACGCUGAGGCGCGAAAGCGUGGGGAGCAAACAGGAUUAGAUACCCUGGUAGUCCACGCCGUAAACGAUGAGUGCUAAGUGUUAGGGGGUUUCCGCCCCUUAGUGCUGCAGCUAACGCAUUAAGCACUCCGCCUGGGGAGUACGGCCGCAAAGGCUG